Molecule: long non-coding RNA, 1035 nt
Organism: Camelina sativa (false flax)
Lineage: Eukaryota; Viridiplantae; Streptophyta; Magnoliopsida; Brassicales; Brassicaceae
Source: RefSeq, a predicted model, not a curated record
CUUUAUUGUCAGCAACACCCUUUGUUGAUUCUUCUGUAAUCAUGUUCUCGGCUUAGUGUAAAUAUUAAUUUGACGAUUUGAACUAUCUUUUAAAUAUUAAUAUUUACACAUCAGAAGCAAAGAGAUUUUUUUUUUGCUUCAAUCGCAAAAUUCUCAUUUUUUUUUGCUCCCGUUGAUUAACCAAUCUCCAAUCGAAGCUUGUGGUUAAACAAUCUUCAGUCGGUUAUGUUGAUUAAACAAUCAGAGCUUCUGAUCAAUCGACGACAUCAGUGGAUAUGAAACCGUUGAGAGUCUUCUCCAUCAAAUCGAAGCUUUACCUUCACUGCUAUUGGACAAUUUGAUUAACCAAUCUCCAUCUCAUGUGGAGAGGGAAAUGGCAGGCUGGAAUCAGAUGUGCCAAAGCGGAUUGGCCAUUGUCGACGUUAAGAGGGAAACCGGCUGGAAUCAGGCUGGAAUCAAAUGAUGUUUGGAGUUGUGGUUCGUGCAUCUGUCUUCAAUAGAAUAAUCCAACGUAUUUGAUGUUGCAGGUUGUAGCUGAAGCAGCUACAGACAUAAUAAUCUGGAAAGAAUUUGCAAUGGGAGCUACUAGAAGUACAAGUUAUCAUGAUCUUGGGAUAAUGCUUGUGAAGCUUCAUAAUGAUUUUGCAACAAUACAUGGAUCCGGUUUGGCUUGAGAACUCAUUUCCUUUGUUGGUACAAAAAUGUAACAAUGCAGUGAAUGCAGAGAGUAUUGAAUUGCUGAAUGAGGUAAUGGCUUCACAAGAGGCUGAUUGUGUAUUGUUCAGACAUUUUUAACUCGGAUGUCCAGGCUAGCCGUAAAAGACCAAAACUUGAGAUACGACGUGCAGAGGCAACAAAUGCAUCACAGACUAUUACUGAAGCUUCACCACUAGAAUUGACUGCAAUUGAUUCGGAACCUUUUGAUUCAUAUUCUUUGCAUUUACUUAAUCUAUGUAAAUGCCCAUAACAUGCCGUUGCCAACAAUUUGAUUAAAUUUAUUUUUUAAAAAUAAAGAACUCCAAUAAGAGUUUAACA